This is a non-coding RNA of Podarcis muralis (Common wall lizard), 1129 nucleotides long. Lineage: Eukaryota; Metazoa; Chordata; Lepidosauria; Squamata; Lacertidae. The record is from RefSeq and is a predicted model, not a curated record.
CUCCCCUGAAGCUCUCUGGCCUCUCCCCGCGCAAUCCGAGCGGUUCAAAACCUUUCUUCUGCCUGAGGUGAAGGGCAGUGUGGAUGCAGCACACCUCGCAUUUCCGUGCACUGACACGGAGUGGGCUUCGCUUCGAGCCUGGAAAAGAGAUUUCUCCCACUGCACCUGAGGCAGCAGCAGGAUUGUCUCUGGUUACCUGGCAUACGUAGGCAGCAAGGUCCUGCAUCACCUGUGCUGCUCCCCAGCACUUGCCACUUCACUUUGCCCUAGAGUAGUAUAAGGGGAAUAAUUUGGAUAUAUUAUCCGUUCAUUGUAAAAGAGAUUCGGAGGAUCUAACACGCACAAACUAUAUGUGACUCCCCUCUAUUUUAACUCUAUUUUAACUUGUAACAAAAACGUUUUCACCAGAUUGGGUUGUGAUUGCUGUGUCCGUUGAUGUUACGAAUGUUGUUAUGGCCUUUGAUGAGUGCAAUCAACAUUUUGAUGAGGAAGAAGAUAUAUAAUAAGGCUGUUUCUGUGCUUGUUGGAGCCGCUUGUGCCCACACAUCUAUUAUUAGCACUGAGGAUGGGGAUGAACAUGAAACACCUUGCCUAUUAAGUCUUCAGUGCAAUACUUUUCCUGAUGGGAAUUCGCCUCCACAAAGGCUUGACAGCUGUAGCACCUGGAUGUCUUUGGGCUCAACUGGUGGACCUGAGUAAUAACAGACUGCUGGACACUAAGGGCUUCCACACUUCGUCUUAAAAGUGAAGAUAACAAUAGCUUACCAGUGGCCUGCUGCAACAGCUAAGUCUUACUGAACAUAUGGUAGUGUGGAAGACAAUUUGAUCUCUUCAGGGAAGGAGUUCCAUAGCCUUGCAAUGUCCCCCUGAGCCAUAUUGCCUGAGGACAACACAAGCGAAGCAGUCCCUGCAGAUCACAAAACUCAGGCUGGCUAGUUCUACGCUGGGUUCUCCUUGAGUCCUAAGUCAUGUAUGACUUUGCAAGCUGUUUGCAGUUCCCACUUGUAACAGUUUACAAUUAAUUACAUAUUCACAGAACUUCAGUUUGUAUAAGAACUUCAGUUUGUAUAAGAACUUCAGUUUGUAUAAGAACUUCUUUCUCAUAAAGCCCAGAAAUUCAAAAACCUUA